UUGCACAGUGAACACCCAAGUGUGCUUGCCACUUGGGGGGGUGGCUUUGAUUCUGUGCUACAGCAACGUCUGUCCUUUUCCUCUACAUUGAAAGGCGCUUUGUCCUUUGAAUGUAUUCAGAAAGUCAGCACAUGA
Ochotona princeps (American pika) is the source of this 135-nucleotide small nucleolar RNA. Lineage: Eukaryota; Metazoa; Chordata; Mammalia; Lagomorpha; Ochotonidae. The record is from Ensembl.